AAGACUAUAGACCUGCGGAGUACCUGCGGAAGGAUCAUUACCGAGUUCUCGCCCCUCGCGGGGUAGACCUCCCACCCACUGUGAUCACUACCGUCGUUGCUUUGGCGGGCCGCUGGGCCCAGCCCACCGCCGGCCCCGGCUGGCGCGUGCCCGCCAGAGGCCCUACAAACGCUGGAUAUCAGUGCCGUCUGAGUACACAUGUUAAUCGUUAAAACUUUUAACAAUGGAUCUCUAGAUCGG
RNAcentral lists this unclassified non-coding RNA (240 nucleotides) under soil metagenome. RNAcentral's name for it is "partial contains 5.8S ribosomal RNA, internal transcribed spacer 2, and large subunit ribosomal RNA". The record is from RNAcentral.